This is a long non-coding RNA of Entelurus aequoreus (snake pipefish), 470 nucleotides long. RefSeq lists it as uncharacterized. The transcript is spliced from 3 exons. The record is from RefSeq and is a predicted model, not a curated record. Lineage: Eukaryota; Metazoa; Chordata; Actinopteri; Syngnathiformes; Syngnathidae.
AGAGGGUUCAAAAGGAGACAACUUCUUCUUCUCCGUUCACUUUUCCAGCCGGCCAGCGACACCUGCGAAGCUGUCGGACGAAAAACACCAAGGCUGAGCUGAAAAAUCUUCGGCUGGGGCAUUCUCUGGAAAAGCCUGCAGGAAAUUGGAGGGCACCAACCCUCGUUGUCCAUGCAAGUCACCCUGAGAGAGCAUGGAACAUCAGAUAUCAGAACAAUGGGUAACAAACUGUCAAGUGGUAUGCUGUCCUAGCAUGUCUACACUAAUGGCGUUGUACACUAAGCUCCAGGCACCCACUGAAGCAGGAAAACGUUGGCGGGACGACACCUUUUUGACCAGGGGCUGCCUGGCUUAAGGCGGACGGUAGUCGACCGAUGAGACACGAUGAUCCCUUCCACCGUCGAAACUGACCCGUGGCGCCCCUUUCCUACGCCAAUUGGAUGGGGGCUUAUAACCCGUAACUGUCAGAA